RNAcentral lists this ribosomal RNA (371 nucleotides) under uncultured organism. Its description in RNAcentral is "partial 16S ribosomal RNA". It matches the Rfam family "Bacterial small subunit ribosomal RNA", at positions 527 to 896 of the family's 1533-position model. The record is from RNAcentral.
GUAGGGUCCAAGCGUUAAUCGGGAAUUACUGGGGCGUAAAGCGUGCGCAGGCGGUUGUGCAAGACCGAUGUGAAAUCCCCGAGCUUAACUUGGGAAUUGCAUUGGUGACUGCACGGCUAGAGUGUGUCAGAGGGGGGUAGAAUUCCACGUGUAGCAGUGAAAUGCGUAGAGAUGUGGAGGAAUACCGAUGGCGAAGGCAGCCCCCUGGGAUAACACUGACGCUCAUGCACGAAAGCGUGGGGAGCAAACAGGAUUAGAUACCCUGGUAGUCCACGCCCUAAACGAUGUCAACUAGUUGUUGGGGAUUCAUUUCCUUAGUAACGUAGCUAACGCGUGAAGUUGACCGCCUGGGGAGUACGGUCGCAAGAUUA